CGCAUCUGUGCAUGCAGCAUAUCAAUAAGCGGAGGAAAAGAAACUAACAAGGAUUCCCCUAGUAACGGCGAGUGAAGCGGGAAGAGCAUCAAAUUUGAAAUCUUAAAGGGUUUCCCUUUACGAAUUGUAGUUUAAAGAAGUGUUUUCUGUUGAGGUUUUGGUAAAGGUUCUUUGGAAGUAGGACAUCAUAGAGGGUGAGAAUCCCGUAUUUGACCUUUACUUUCAACUUUGUGAUACACUUUCAAAGAGUCGGAUUGUUUGGGAAUGCAGUCCAAAAUGGGUGGUAAAUUUCAUCUAAAGCUAAAUAUUGGCGAGAGACCGAUAGCGAACAAGUACCGUGAGGGAAAGAUGAAAAGAACUUUGAAAAGAGAGUUAAACAGUACGUGAAAUUGUCAAAAGGGAAGCGUUUGACACCAGUGUUGUUUUUCUGAAAAUCAAUUAAAGAACUGUUUAUGCUAAGUUGUUUAGACUUUAUCAGCUAACUGUUUAGUUUUGAGCUUUUCUUUAAUGCACUUUUCAGUUAACAAGUCAACAUCAAUUUCUUUUGCUGUAAAAAAGCUUGAGGAGGGUGGCUUGAGAUUCGUCUUAAGUGUUUAUAGCCUCUUGCCUACUGCAGUCAGGAGAGAUUGAGGUCUGCAGCGUAGAUCCUUCGGGGCUAAAUGCAUUUGUGCUAAGUUAUAGCAUUUUAUAGACAACUUGUUGACUAUGAUUUGUCUUGUAGCUUACUCGCUUAUGUUAUUUUACCUACGCUUAGGAUGUUGAAGAUGUAGCACAUCAU
Molecule: ribosomal RNA, 778 nt
Filed under: uncultured Neocallimastigales
Lineage: Eukaryota; Fungi; Neocallimastigomycota; Neocallimastigomycetes; Neocallimastigales
Description: partial large subunit ribosomal RNA
Rfam family: Eukaryotic large subunit ribosomal RNA
Source: RNAcentral